Molecule: ribozyme, 75 nt
Filed under: Crocodylus porosus (Australian saltwater crocodile)
Lineage: Eukaryota; Metazoa; Chordata; Crocodylia; Crocodylidae
Description: Mammalian CPEB3 ribozyme (ENSCPRG00005011886.1)
Rfam family: Mammalian CPEB3 ribozyme
About the family: The mammalian CPEB3 ribozyme is a self cleaving RNA located in the second intron of the CPEB3 gene which belongs to a family of genes regulating messenger RNA polyadenylation. This ribozyme is highly conserved and found only in mammals.
Source: RNAcentral
AGCUGCCAUAGCAGCCAUUGCAGGAGCACUCACUUCACAGUCCUAUCAGAUUCUAAUGAAUCUGCAAAUUCUGCU